GAUCCUGGCUCAGGAUGAACGCUGGCGGCGCGCCUAACACAUGCAAGUCGAACGGCACCCCUCUCCGGAGGGAAGCGAGUGGCGAACGGCUGAGUAACACGUGGAGAACCUGCCCCCUCCCCCGGGAUAGCCGCCCGAAAGGACGGGUAAUACCGGAUACCCCGGGGUGCCGCAUGGCACCCCGGCUAAAGCCCCCGACGGGAGGGGAUGGCUCCGCGGCCCAUCAGGUAGACGGCGGGGUGACGGCCCACCGUGCCGACAACGGGUAGCCGGGUUGAGAG
Molecule: ribosomal RNA, 281 nt
Filed under: uncultured bacterium
Lineage: Bacteria
Description: partial 16S ribosomal RNA
Rfam family: Bacterial small subunit ribosomal RNA
Source: RNAcentral